Molecule: unclassified non-coding RNA, 347 nt
Filed under: soil metagenome
Description: partial contains 5.8S ribosomal RNA, internal transcribed spacer 2, and large subunit ribosomal RNA
Rfam family: 5.8S ribosomal RNA (bases 1-120)
Source: RNAcentral
GAUGAAGAACGUAGCGAAAUGCGAUACGUAAUGUGAAUUGCAGAAUUCCGUGAAUCAUCGAGUCUUUGAACGCACAUUGCGCCCCCUGGUAUUCCGGGGGGCAUGCCUGUCCGAGCGUCAUUGCUGCCCUCAAGCACGGCUUGUGUGUUGGGCCCCGUCCUCCGAUCCCGGGGGACGGGCCCGAAAGGCAGCGGCGGCACCGCGUCCGGUCCUCGAGCGUAUGGGGCUUUGUCACCCGCUCUGUAGGCCCGGCCGGCGCUUGCCGAUCAACCCAAAUUUUUUAUCCAGGUUGACCUCGGAUCAGGUAGGGAUACCCGCUGAACUUAAGCAUAUCAAUAAGCGGAGGA